Molecule: ribosomal RNA, 405 nt
Filed under: uncultured bacterium
Lineage: Bacteria
Description: bacterial SSU rRNA
Rfam family: Bacterial small subunit ribosomal RNA
Source: RNAcentral
UGGGGAAUAUUGGGAAAUGGGGGAAACCCUGACACAGCAACGCCGCGUGAGGGAAGAAGGUUUUCGGAUUGUAAACCUCUGUUCUUGGAGAAGAGGAGAAGACGGUAUCCAAGGAGGAAGCCCCGGCUAACUACGUGCCAGCAGCCGCGGUAAUACGUAGGGGGCGAGCGUUGUCCGGAAUGAUUGGGCGUAAAGGGCGUAUAGGCGGCCAGUCAAGUCAGUAGUGGAAGUCCAAUUUUCAAGGUUGGAAGUGCUAUUGAAACUGCAGGGCUUGAGUGCAGGAGAGGUUAUCGGAAUUCCCGGUGUAGCGGUGAAAUGCGUAGAGAUCGGGAGGAACACCAGUGUCGAAGGCGGGUAACUGGACUGCAACUGACGCUGAGGCGCGAAAGUGUGGGGAGCAAACAG